This 253-nucleotide ribosomal RNA is filed under the name uncultured bacterium. RNAcentral's name for it is "partial 16S ribosomal RNA". It matches the Rfam family "Bacterial small subunit ribosomal RNA", at positions 524 to 776 of the family's 1533-position model. The record is from RNAcentral.
UACGGAGGAUGCGAGCGUUAUCCGGAUUUAUUGGGUUUAAAGGGAGCGUAGACGGCGGUUUAAGUCAGCUGUGAAAUGGUGCGGCUCAACCGUAGCACUGCAGUUGAAACUGGACGGCUUGAGUGCAGUUGAGGCAGGCGGAAUUCGUGGUGUAGCGGUGAAAUGCUUAGAUAUCACGAAGAACCCCGAUUGCGAAGGCAGCCUGCUAAGCUGCAACUGACGUUGAGGCUCGAAAGUGUGGGUAUCAAACAGG